UGCCUGGCAGUGUCCUACUCUCGCAUGGGGAGACCCCACACUACCAUCGGCGCUACGGCGUUUCACUUCUGAGUUCGGCAUGGGUUCAGGUGGGUCCACCGCGCUAUGGCCGCCA
RNAcentral lists this ribosomal RNA (115 nucleotides) under Yersinia frederiksenii ATCC 33641. Lineage: Bacteria; Pseudomonadati; Pseudomonadota; Gammaproteobacteria; Enterobacterales; Yersiniaceae. The record is from RNAcentral.